This is a long non-coding RNA of Dermacentor silvarum, 373 nucleotides long. RefSeq lists it as uncharacterized. The transcript has 3 exons. The record is from RefSeq and is a predicted model, not a curated record. Lineage: Eukaryota; Metazoa; Arthropoda; Arachnida; Ixodida; Ixodidae.
GCCAUACCAACGUCACGCACUCGCUGAAACAGUUUCAUUUCAGACGAUCUAGAGAUCAGUACAAAAUAGUCGCCAUCUGAAGGACCAUGAAGCUGAUGUUGACCCUUCUCAUCUUUGCCAUUUCUGGCCUUUUGGUGCCAGACAGUACAGCUUCGCCAAAUGGUGAGGCAUUUGGAGUUGCCUCAAAGGAAGCUCAGCGCUUGGACGGAAGUGCUGAAGACGCCGAAGCCCGUCUAUCUGUGGCCUGUGUGAACAACAACUGUGCAGUUUCACUGCUGAGAAAAUAAGGCCAAACCCCGAGAAAAUGCAUUCGGCACUGAAACGCAACCAUGACUACUUCGGUCCGUUUCUUUUCGGAAGCAGCAGCUCAGUU